RNAcentral lists this ribosomal RNA (251 nucleotides) under uncultured prokaryote. RNAcentral's name for it is "partial 16S rRNA". It matches the Rfam family "Bacterial small subunit ribosomal RNA", at positions 525 to 775 of the family's 1533-position model. The record is from RNAcentral.
ACGUAGGAGGCGAGCGUUAUCCGGAUUUACUGGGCGUAAAGCGCGUGCAGGCGGUUUGGAAAGUUGGAUGUGAAAGCUCCUGGCUUAACUGGGAGAGGUCGUUCAAAACUACCAGACUAGAGAGUGGUAGAGGAAGGCGGAAUUCCGGGUGUAGUGGUGAAAUGCGUAGAUAUCCGGAGGAACACCAGUGGCGAAAGCGGCCUUCUGGACCACUUCUGACGCUCAGACGCGAAAGCUAGGGUAGCAAACGG